GAUGAACGCUGGCGGCGUGCCUAAUACAUGCAAGUCGAGCGAACAGACGAGGAGCUUGCUCCUCUGACGUUAGCGGCGGACGGGUGAGUAACACGUGGAUAACCUACCUAUAAGACUGGGAUAACUUCGGGAAACCGGAGCUAAUACCGGAUAACAUGUUGAACCGCAUGGUUCAACAGUGAAAGACGGUCUUGCUGUCACUUAUAGAUGGAUCCGCGCCGCAUUAGCUAGUUGGUAAGGUAACGGCUUACCAAGGCAACGAUGCGUAGCCGACCUGAGAGGGUGAUCGGCCACACUGGAACUGAGACACGGUCCAGACUCCUACGGGAGGCAGCAGUAGGGAAUCUUCCGCAAUGGGCGAAAGUCUGACGGAGCAACGCCGCGUGAGUGAAGAAGGUCUUCGGAUCGUAAAACUCUGUUAUUAGGGAAGAACAAAUGUGUAAGUAACUAUGCGCGUCUUGACGGUACCUAAUCAGAAAGCCACGGCUAACUACGUG
This 497-nucleotide ribosomal RNA is filed under the name uncultured bacterium. Its description in RNAcentral is "partial 16S ribosomal RNA". It matches the Rfam family "Bacterial small subunit ribosomal RNA", at positions 28 to 507 of the family's 1533-position model. The record is from RNAcentral.